Molecule: ribosomal RNA, 533 nt
Filed under: uncultured bacterium
Lineage: Bacteria
Description: bacterial SSU rRNA
Rfam family: Bacterial small subunit ribosomal RNA
Source: RNAcentral
AGAGUUUGAUCAUGGCUCAGAAUCAACGCUGGCGGCGCGCCUAACACAUGCAAGUCGAACGCGACAGGGGCAACUCUGUUGAGUGGCGCACGGGUGAGUAACACGUAGGUAAUCUCCCCCCGAGUGGUGGAUAACUUUCCGAAAGGAGAGCUAAUACAGCAUAAGACCACGGGGUCGAAAGACCUUGAGGUCAAAGCGGAGGAUCGCAAGACUUCGCGCUUGGGGAUGAGCCUGCGGCCCAUCAGGUAGUUGGCGGGGUAAUGGCCCACCAAGCCUAAGACGGGUAGCUGGUCUGAGAGGAUGAUCAGCCACACUGGAACUGAGACACGGUCCAGACUCCUACGGGAGGCAGCAGUGGGGAAUCUUGCGCAAUGGACGAAAGUCUGACGCAGCGACGCCGCGUGGGUGAUGAAGGCCUUCGGGUUGUAAAGCCCUGUGGGGAGGGACGAAUAAGUUGCGGCUAAUACCCGCAGCGAUGACGGUACCUCCUUAGCAAGCACCGGCUAACUCUGUGCCAGCCGCCGCGGUAAUAC